AAACAGAUAGUUUAAACACAAAUAUUUGGUUUCGGCCCACAAGAUAUCUGAUUGAUUCUGUUUU
RNAcentral lists this transfer RNA (64 nucleotides) under Asymmetron lucayanum. Its description in RNAcentral is "tRNA-Arg". Lineage: Eukaryota; Metazoa; Chordata; Leptocardii; Amphioxiformes; Branchiostomatidae. The record is from RNAcentral.